AACGAACGCUGGCGGCAUGCCUAACACAUGCAAGUCGAACGAUCCCUUCGGGGAUAGUGGCGCACGGGUGCGUAACGCGUGGGAAUCUGCCCUCAGGUACGGAAUAACUCAGGGAAACUUGAGCUAAUACCGUAUAAUGACUUCGGUCCAAAGAUUUAUCGCCUGGGGAUGAGCCCGCGUCGGAUUAGCUAGUUGGUGAGGUAAAAGCUCACCAAGGCGACGAUCCGUAGCUGGUCUGAGAGGAUGAUCAGCCACACUGGGACUGAGACACGGCCCAGACUCCUACGGGAGGCAGCAGUGGGGAAUAUUGGACAAUGGGCGCAAGCCUGAUCCAGCAAUGCCGCGUGAGUGAUGAAGGCCUUAGGGUUGUAAAGCUCUUUUACCCGGGAAGAUAAUGACUGUACCGGGAGAAUAAGCCCCGGCUAACUCCGUGCCAGCAGCCGCGGUAAUACGGAGGGGGCUAGCGUUGUUCGGAAUUACUGGCGUAAAGCGCACGUA
This 498-nucleotide ribosomal RNA is filed under the name uncultured bacterium. RNAcentral describes it as "bacterial SSU rRNA". It matches the Rfam family "Bacterial small subunit ribosomal RNA", at positions 28 to 573 of the family's 1533-position model. The record is from RNAcentral.